Molecule: ribosomal RNA, 253 nt
Filed under: uncultured bacterium
Lineage: Bacteria
Description: partial 16S ribosomal RNA
Rfam family: Bacterial small subunit ribosomal RNA
Source: RNAcentral
GACAGAGGUCCCGAGCGUUAGGCGGAAUCACUGGGCUUAAAGCGUGUGUAGGCGGAUGCCUAAGUACCUUGUGAAAUCCCACGGCUCACCCGUGGAACAGCUCCGCAUACUGCAGGACUCGAGGACGGUAGGGGAGAGCGGAACUCCUGGUGGAGCGGUGAAAUGCGUAGAUAUCAGGAGGAACACCGGCGGCGAAGGCGGCUCUCUGGUCCGUUACUGACGCUGAGGUGCGAAAGCCAGGGGAGCAAACGGG